CAGUAGCCGCGGUAAUACGUAGGGUGCAAGCGUUAAUCGGAAUUACUGGGCGUAAAGCGUGCGCAGGCGGUCCGCUAAGACAGAUGUGAAAUCCCCGGGCUUAACCUGGGAACUGCAUUUGUGACUGGCGGGCUAGAGUAUGGCAGAGGGGGGUAGAAUUCCACGUGUAGCAGUGAAAUGCGUAGAGAUGUGGAGGAAUACCGAUGGCGAAGGCAGCCCCCUGGGCCAAUACUGACGCUCAUGCACGAAAGCGUGGGGAGCAAACAGGAUUAGAUACCCCUGUAGUCCCUGUCUCUUAUAC
Molecule: ribosomal RNA, 301 nt
Filed under: uncultured bacterium
Lineage: Bacteria
Description: partial 16S ribosomal RNA
Rfam family: Bacterial small subunit ribosomal RNA
Source: RNAcentral